RNAcentral lists this long non-coding RNA (774 nucleotides) under Marmota monax (woodchuck). Lineage: Eukaryota; Metazoa; Chordata; Mammalia; Rodentia; Sciuridae. The record is from RNAcentral.
GUGACACAGCAACCUGUAUCUAUAAAAAUAGGAGAUGAACAGGACUUGCACUGGGCAGUAAAGCCUGAUGGUUAGAAUGCAGGUUCCAGAGAGCUAGCUGCCUGGCCCCCAGUCCUGCCUUUGUGUCCUAACAACUCUGUGACCUUGGACUGCUCUGUUCACUCAUUCAUUCAUGCAUUCCCAAGAGCACCAGAAACUCAGGCAUACAGCUCUGCCCAGGCAGACAAGUCCAAUGUCCCUCCAUGGAAGAAUGGAUCAUCAAAAGUUUCAUCCAAUUAAUAUAUUCAAAGAAAUGUGAUUUAACCGUAAAAAGGAAAGAAGCGCUGACACAUUCUACAACACAGGAGAGCUUGAGAACAUCAUGCUAAGCAAAAGGAGCCAGACACAGACGGCCACACCUCUUAUGAUUCAAUAAGCAGGAAGUAUUCAGAGCAGCGCUGCCUCUGAAUCUUCCCCAUUGUCCCUUCCUGCUUCAGCCCUCUGUCCCAUUUCACCAUCACCACCACUGCACGAUGCUGUUUUCAGUAAGGAUGCCAACAACCUCUCAGUCGCCAGAUUUCGUGGAUAUAUUUUAUUCCUUGUUUUACUUGACCCCUGGGCACAUUCAGCAUCACCAACCUUCUAUACUUCUUGGAGCAAUUUCUCUGUUUGAUUUCUAUGACUCUCCAAGGUCCCAUGUUCUCCUGGUUUCUAACUUUAACUUCCAUGAUUCCGUCUUAUCUUUCUAGAGCUCUCUUCUCUCCAUAAUCAGCAGUUCCAGCCAUUCUUUCUGAG